UACGGGGGGGGCAAGCGUUGUUCGGAAUUACUGGGCGUAAAGGGCGCGUAGGCGGUUUGCUAAGUUGAAUGUGAAAACUUUGGGCUUAAUUUAGAGUUUGCAUUCAAAACUGGCAGACUUGAGUAUUGGAGGGGAAAGCGGAAUUUUUGGUGUAGCGGUGAAAUGCGUAGAUAUCAGGAGGAACACCGGUGGCGAAGGCGGCUUUCUGGACAGUAACUGACGCUGAGGCGCGAAAGCUAGGGGAGCAAACAGG
Molecule: ribosomal RNA, 253 nt
Filed under: uncultured bacterium
Lineage: Bacteria
Description: partial 16S ribosomal RNA
Rfam family: Bacterial small subunit ribosomal RNA
Source: RNAcentral